Molecule: non-coding RNA, 31 nt
Filed under: Mus musculus (house mouse)
Lineage: Eukaryota; Metazoa; Chordata; Mammalia; Rodentia; Muridae
Source: RNAcentral
UAACAGUGGCUGCAACCUUUUAAUGAGGGGU